AGGAAUCCACUCCUCCAAUACAAAGACUUGCAGGUGAGAGAGCUUAGGUAACAACCCACUAGGAAACUCCUUUUCACCACAUCCAUUCAUUCUAAGAUGCCUCAGGUUGCAUAGACAUUCCAUGCCUUGAGGAAUCUUUUCAAGUGCCCAAGUACCAGAGAGAUCUAACCUCUUCAGUGCCCUGAGCUUUUCUAAUGACGGUACAUGCCUUAACAUCUUACAAUCAAUGAGCAGUAAUGCAGUGAGACUCACCAAUUCAGAGACAGAAUCAGGCAGUUUUGUGAUAUUUGUAUAAGACAGAUCAAGAACCUUGAGCCCA
This is a long non-coding RNA of Populus trichocarpa (black cottonwood), 319 nucleotides long. RefSeq lists it as uncharacterized. Lineage: Eukaryota; Viridiplantae; Streptophyta; Magnoliopsida; Malpighiales; Salicaceae. The record is from RefSeq and is a predicted model, not a curated record. The transcript is spliced from 3 exons.